This 344-nucleotide RNase P RNA is filed under the name Aequorivita ciconiae. RNAcentral describes it as "Aequorivita sp. H23M31 Bacterial RNase P class A". It matches the Rfam family "Bacterial RNase P class A". Rfam says of the family: Ribonuclease P (RNase P) is a ubiquitous endoribonuclease, found in archaea, bacteria and eukarya as well as chloroplasts and mitochondria. Its best characterised activity is the generation of mature 5'-ends of tRNAs by cleaving the 5'-leader elements of precursor-tRNAs. Cellular RNase Ps are ribonucleoproteins. Lineage: Bacteria; Pseudomonadati; Bacteroidota; Flavobacteriia; Flavobacteriales; Flavobacteriaceae. The record is from Rfam by way of RNAcentral.
AGCGCAGGCCGCCUUAUCGUUCCCGAAUUUAAUUCGGGAGAGGAAAGUCCGGACACCAUAGGGAUGCAUAGCGGCUAACGGCCGUCACCCUCCAUAGCCUCGGCUCGGGAGGGGAGGACAAGUGCAACAGAAAGGAUGUACAGGUAAUGCUGUAGUGAAAUCAGGUAAACUCUAUGCGGUGAAAUGCCACGUAAACCUGUGUCCCGAUAGCUAUCGGGAAAGGGUUCCCGCCCGAUGCAGGAGGGUAGGCAGAUUGAGCGUUUCGGUAACGGAACGUCUAGAUAAAUGAUAAGGCCCCGAACUAGCUUCGGGGACAGAACCCGGCUUAUAGGCCUGCAUUUUUU